This 465-nucleotide ribosomal RNA is filed under the name Vreelandella stevensii. Its description in RNAcentral is "partial 16S ribosomal RNA". It matches the Rfam family "Bacterial small subunit ribosomal RNA", at positions 338 to 795 of the family's 1533-position model. The record is from RNAcentral. Lineage: Bacteria; Pseudomonadati; Pseudomonadota; Gammaproteobacteria; Oceanospirillales; Halomonadaceae.
CCUACGGGGGGCAGCAGUGGGGAAUAUUGGACAAUGGGGGGAACCCUGAUCCAGCCAUGCCGCGUGUGUGAAGAAGGCCCUCGGGUUGUAAAGCACUUUCAGUGAGGAAGAACGCCUGGUGGUUAAUACCCAUCAGGAAAGACAUCACUCACAGAAGAAGCACCGGCUAACUCCGUGCCAGCAGCCGCGGUAAUACGGAGGGUGCGAGCGUUAAUCGGAAUUACUGGGCGUAAAGCGCGCGUAGGUGGCUUGAUAAGCCGGUUGUGAAAGCCCCGGGCUCAACCUGGGAACGGCAUCCGGAACCGUCAAGCUAGAGUGCAGGAGAGGAAGGUAGAAUUCCAGGUGUAGCGGUGAAAUGCGUAGAGAUCGGGAGGAAUACCAGUGGCGAAGGCGGCCUUCUGGACUGACACUGACACUGAGGUGCGAAAGCGUGGGUAGCAAACAGGAUUAGAUACCCCUGUAGUC